Molecule: ribosomal RNA, 365 nt
Filed under: uncultured bacterium
Lineage: Bacteria
Description: bacterial SSU rRNA
Rfam family: Bacterial small subunit ribosomal RNA
Source: RNAcentral
CAGGCCUAACACAUGCAAGUCGAGCGGAUGAGAAGAGCUUGCUCUUCGAUUCAGCGGCGGACGGGUGAGUAAUACCUAGGAAUCUGCCUGGUAGUGGGGGACAACGUUUCGAAAGGAACGCUAAUACCGCAUACGUCCUACGGGAGAAAGCAGGGGACCUUCGGGCCUUGCGCUAUCAGAUGAGCCUAGGUCGGAUUAGCUAGUUGGUGAGGUAAUGGCUCACCAAGGCGACGAUCCGUAACUGGUCUGAGAGGAUGAUCAGUCACACUGGAACUGAGACACGGUCCAGACUCCUACGGGAGGCAGCAGUGGGGAAUAUUGGACAAUGGGCGAAAGCCUGAUCCAGCCAUGCCGAAUCACUAGUG